AGCCCGUGUCGAUCAUCAAUGGAGGCAGAUCUUUUGAAUAAUGUUUUUCCAUUUGAGGAACCAGACUGCAAAUUCUUCAAAAUCUGCUUCACAUUUGGUCCACCAUCAUCACAAAUCGAAUUCUGGAGCCAGCUGUUAUUGCCUUUUUCCAGCUUCUUGCCCCUCUCAUUUACGGUUUUAACAUGCUUUUGUUGUUAUAGUC
RNAcentral lists this unclassified non-coding RNA (202 nucleotides) under Hevea brasiliensis (rubber tree). The record is from RNAcentral. Lineage: Eukaryota; Viridiplantae; Streptophyta; Magnoliopsida; Malpighiales; Euphorbiaceae.